This 188-nucleotide ribosomal RNA is filed under the name Pseudomonas citronellolis. RNAcentral's name for it is "partial 16S ribosomal RNA". It matches the Rfam family "Bacterial small subunit ribosomal RNA", at positions 1 to 188 of the family's 1533-position model. Lineage: Bacteria; Pseudomonadati; Pseudomonadota; Gammaproteobacteria; Pseudomonadales; Pseudomonadaceae. The record is from RNAcentral.
GAACUGAAGAGUUUGAUCAUGGCUCAGAUUGAACGCUGGCGGCAGGCCUAACACAUGCAAGUCGAGCGGAUGAAGGGAGCUUGCUUCCUGAUUCAGCGGCGGACGGGUGAGUAAUGCCUAGGAAUCUGCCUGGUAGUGGGGGACAACGUUCCGAAAGGAGCGCUAAUACCGCAUACGUCCUACGGGAG